Molecule: long non-coding RNA, 803 nt
Organism: Ornithodoros turicata
Lineage: Eukaryota; Metazoa; Arthropoda; Arachnida; Ixodida; Argasidae
Exons: 4
Source: RefSeq, a predicted model, not a curated record
AACGAGCAACCAUUCAAAGAAUCGUCGGUAUAGCCUGGUGAAUUGGUGAGCGGAUGUUUUCACCCUUCGGUUCAUUCGAGUGCCUCGUGGGACGAAUUAUUCACGAACGACAUAUUUCGCACUGACUGGAACGAGUGGAACAGACAGUCUGCUGCCUGGGCCGGGCGCCGGGCUACCACCACACGGCGUGAGCAGCGUGAGCGUCACUCACUUGGGUCGUCAGCUGCCGUUUAUAACGCUGUGUCAUCGCGGUACGGUUGCUGAACAGUCAUGAAGCACGUGGUUGCAGUUGCUGCGGUUGGAGCCGGCCUGGCAGUACUGGCUGCACCACUUGCCCUAGGAGCUCUAGGAUUCUCGGCAGCAGGAGUAGGAGCAGGGACCCUUGCGGCUGCGUGGCACAGCGCCAUCGGAGUAGUGGCUAAAGGAAGCGUGUUUUCGCUCCUUCAGAGCUUUGGAGCAGCUGGGAUACCAGCAACUGUCCAAGUUGCAGUUGGUGCAGUGGGUGGAACAGCUGGUGCAGCAGUUGGUGCAGCAAUGGAAGCAGCAGGCUUCGGCUCAGGGAAAAAGAAAACCGAUGAAAGUGAAGAAAGCGAGGAAAAGUGCGAGGAAGAGUGCGAGGAAAAGUGCAAAAAAGCGGUUUAAGGCAUGUGUGGUCUGUAGCCUCUUUUUUUUUUUUUUUUUUUUUAUGAUGGACUGACCUGUAACCACAUAAGUCACAGGUCGCUGUCCGAACGCUACUGUGUACUGCAGUAAAGGCAGAUAAAUCUUGAGUAGACAAGAUGGGAGGUCAAACAGAAACCUUC